UGCAUGUGUCUGGAAUUAAGA
Molecule: non-coding RNA, 21 nt
Filed under: Caenorhabditis elegans
Lineage: Eukaryota; Metazoa; Nematoda; Chromadorea; Rhabditida; Rhabditidae
Source: RNAcentral